GACGAACGCUGGCGGCGUGCUUAACACAUGCAAGUCGAACGGAAAGGCCUCUUUCGGGGGGUACUCGAGUGGCGAACGGGUGAGUAACACGUGAGUAACCUGCCCUUGACUUUGGGAUAACUUCAGGAAACUGGGGCUAAUACCGGAUAGGAGCUCCUGCUGCAUGGUGGGUGUUGGAAAGUUUCGGCGGUUGGGGAUGGACUCGCGGCUUAUCAGCUUGUUGGUGGGGUAGUGGCUUACCAAGGCUUUGACGGGUAGCCGGCCUGAGAGGGUGACCGGCCACAUUGGGACUGAGAUACGGCCCAGACUCCUACGGGGGGCAGCAGUGGGGAAUAUUGCACAAUGGGUGGAAGCCUGAUGCAGCAACGCCGUGUGCGGGAUGACGGCCUUCGGGUUGUAAACCGCUUUCGCUCAUGACGAAGCUUUGUGUGACGGUAGUGGGUAAAGAAGCACCGGCUAACUACGUG
This 467-nucleotide ribosomal RNA is filed under the name uncultured bacterium. Its description in RNAcentral is "partial 16S ribosomal RNA". It matches the Rfam family "Bacterial small subunit ribosomal RNA", at positions 28 to 507 of the family's 1533-position model. The record is from RNAcentral.